Molecule: transfer RNA, 71 nt
Filed under: Chelonia mydas (Green sea turtle)
Lineage: Eukaryota; Metazoa; Chordata; Testudines; Cheloniidae
Rfam family: tRNA
About the family: Transfer RNA (tRNA) molecules are approximately 80 nucleotides in length. Their secondary structure includes four short double-helical elements and three loops (D, anti-codon, and T loops).
Source: Rfam by way of RNAcentral
GGAAGGAUGGUCCAGGGUUAGGAUGCCAGCUUGGGAUUCUGGUGGGCUGGGUUCAAUUCCCAGUUCUGCUG